GCGGGAUAAGUAGCAAUACUUUGAGAGCGGCGCACGGGUGCGUAACGCGUAUGCAACCUGCCUUAUACAGGGGGAUAGCCCAUGGAAACGUGGAUUAAUAUCCCAUAGGAUUACGGUCUCGCAUGGGACAGUGAUUAAAACUACGGUGGUAUAAGAUGGGCAUGCGUCUGAUUAGGUAGUUGGUAGGGUAACGGCCUACCAAGCCGACGAUCAGUAGGGGUUCUGAGAGGAUUACCCCCCACACUGGUACUGAGACACGGACCAGACUCCUACGGGAGGCAGCAGUGAGGAAUAUUGGUCAAUGGGCGAUAGCCUGAACCAGCCAUCCCGCGUGCAGGAUGACGGCCCUAUGGGUUGUAAACUGCUUUUCUGCCCCAAGAAACCUGAUUACGAGUAGUCAGUUGACGGUAGGGUAGGAAUAAGCAUCGGCUAACUCCGUGCCAGCAGCCGCGGUAAUACGGAGGAUGCAAGCGUUAUCCGGAUUCAUUGGGUUUAAAGGGUGCGCAGGUUGGAAUGUGUCAUACGAGACUGCCGGUAUAAAGCCGGAGGAAGGUGUGGAUGACGUCAAGUCAGCAUGGCCUUUAUGUCCGGGGCCACACACACGCUACAAUGGCCAGUACAAUAGGUAGCAAAGCCGCGAGGUGGAGCCAAUCCAUAAAGCUGGUCUCAGUUCAGAUUGUAGGCUGCAACUCGCCUACAUGAAGUCGGAGUUGCUAGUAACCGCGCGUCAGCAUUAGUGCGGUGAAUACGUUCCCGGGCCUUGUACACACCGCCCGUCACGUCAUGGGAGCUGACAACACC
RNAcentral lists this ribosomal RNA (801 nucleotides) under uncultured bacterium. RNAcentral's name for it is "bacterial SSU rRNA". It matches the Rfam family "Bacterial small subunit ribosomal RNA", at positions 66 to 1421 of the family's 1533-position model. The record is from RNAcentral.